RNAcentral lists this ribosomal RNA (201 nucleotides) under uncultured bacterium. RNAcentral's name for it is "partial 16S ribosomal RNA". It matches the Rfam family "Bacterial small subunit ribosomal RNA", at positions 524 to 724 of the family's 1533-position model. The record is from RNAcentral.
UACGUAGGGUGCGAGCGUUAAUCGGAAUUACUGGGCGUAAAGCGCGCGUAGGUGGUUCAGUAAGUUGGAUGUGAAAUCCCCGGGCUCAACCUGGGAACUGCAUUUGUGACUGCAAGGCUAGAGUACGGCAGAGGGGGAUGGAAUUCCGCGUGUAGCAGUGAAAUGCGUAGAUAUGCGGAGGAACACCAAUGGCGAAGGCAA